RNAcentral lists this unclassified non-coding RNA (293 nucleotides) under Pappia fissilis. Its description in RNAcentral is "Tyromyces fissilis partial internal transcribed spacer region". The stretch from base 1 to 46 matches the Rfam family "Eukaryotic small subunit ribosomal RNA", at positions 1786 to 1831 of the family's 1831-position model. Lineage: Eukaryota; Fungi; Basidiomycota; Agaricomycetes; Polyporales; Meruliaceae. The record is from RNAcentral.
AAGUCGUAACAAGGUUUCCGUAGGUGAACCUGCGGAAGGAUCAUUAUCGAGUUUUGAAAAGGGUUGUAGCUGGCCUUCGGCAACAAGUCGGAGGCAUGUGCACGCCUGGCUCAUCCGCUCUCAAACCCCUGUGCACCUUUUGUAGGCUUCGGCAGAGAGGACUGACUUCGGUCGGUUCAGGAAGCCUUGUGCCUAUGUCACACAUACAAACGCUUCAGUUUAGAAUGUAACGAAUCGUGCGCCUCGGUGCAACGAAGUAAAUACAACUUUCAGCAACGGAUCUCUUGGCUCUC